Molecule: unclassified non-coding RNA, 218 nt
Filed under: Hevea brasiliensis (rubber tree)
Lineage: Eukaryota; Viridiplantae; Streptophyta; Magnoliopsida; Malpighiales; Euphorbiaceae
Source: RNAcentral
GCCGCCUCCAGAAUCGCGAAAUACACCGCCGGAUCCUCGAUCACGUACUUCAGCGGCCGGAUCCCGGCAUCCCUCACCAGCGCCGUCAGCUGCCGCAUGCACAACUCCCGGUGCUCCGCCGUCGAGAUCUCCACCGGCGUGAUCAGAUCCGGCCGCGACCGGAAGAACUCGAACACCCGAUCCUGCACCUCCCGGUGCCGCCCCCUCAUGUACUCCGA